RNAcentral lists this ribosomal RNA (253 nucleotides) under uncultured bacterium. RNAcentral describes it as "partial 16S ribosomal RNA". It matches the Rfam family "Bacterial small subunit ribosomal RNA", at positions 524 to 776 of the family's 1533-position model. The record is from RNAcentral.
UACAGAGGUCUCAAGCGUUGUUCGGAUUCAUUGGGCGUAAAGAGCGUGUAGGCGGCCAUACAGGUCCGUUGUGAAAACUGGAGGCUUAACCUCCAGACGUCGAUGGAAACCGUAUGGCUAGAGUCCGGAAGAGGAGAGUGGAAUUCCUGGUGUAGCGGUGAAAUGCGCAGAUAUCAGGAAGAACACCCGUGGCGAAGGCAGGUCUCUGGGCUGACACUGACGCUCAUGCACGAAAGCGUGGGGAGCAAACAGG